AAGGAAAUUCUGCUGUUUUUGGUUAUUAUCUUGAAUAUUAUUAUAGAUAGAGAUAAACUGUAAACAGCAAUAAUGUUCAGCAAAGUAAGAUUUACAAAUAAGUCAACAUGACCGAAAUGGUCAGUUGACCCCUUUAGGAGUUAUUGCCCUUUAUAGUCAAUUUUUAACCAUUUUUCGUAAAUCUCAGUAAUCUUUUACAAAAAUCUUCUCCUCUGAAACUACUGGGCC
Molecule: long non-coding RNA, 228 nt
Filed under: Mytilus galloprovincialis (Mediterranean mussel)
Lineage: Eukaryota; Metazoa; Mollusca; Bivalvia; Mytilida; Mytilidae
Source: RNAcentral